CCUACGGGGGGCAGCAGUGAGGAAUAUUGGUCAAUGGACGAGAGUCUGAACCAGCCAAGUCGCGUGAAGGAUGAAUGUCCUAUGGGUUGUAAACCUCUUUUAUCAAGGAAUAAAACGAGGCACGCGUGCCUUUUUGAAUGUACUUUAUGAAUAAGCAUCGGCUAACUCCGUGCCAGCAGCCGCGGUAAUACGGAGGAUCCGAGCGUUAUCCGGAUUUAUUGGGUUUAAAGGGAGCGUAGAUGGGUUGUUAAGUCAGUUGUGAAAGUUUGCGGCUCAACCGUAAAAGUGCAAUUGAUACUGGCAGUCUUGAGUACAGUAGAGGUAUGCGGAAUGCGUGGUGUAGCGGUGAAAUGCUUAGAUAUCACGAAGAACCCCGAUUGCGAAGGCAGCUUACUGAACUGUGACUGACGUUGAUGCUCGAAAGUGUGGGUAUCGAACAGGAUUAGAUACCCGUGUAGUC
Molecule: ribosomal RNA, 460 nt
Filed under: uncultured bacterium
Lineage: Bacteria
Description: partial 16S ribosomal RNA
Rfam family: Bacterial small subunit ribosomal RNA
Source: RNAcentral